This is an RNA transcript of Tarenaya hassleriana, 1231 nucleotides long. It is a transcript of the gene named ABC transporter I family member 11, chloroplastic, with no coding region annotated. The transcript has 12 exons. NCBI's taxonomy places the organism in Eukaryota, Viridiplantae, Streptophyta, Magnoliopsida, Brassicales, Cleomaceae. The record is from RefSeq and is a predicted model, not a curated record.
GUUCUCUGGUAAAAUCUCCGCAUCCAUUGAAGAAAUUGGCUGAGCUCAGAGUGUGGGCAUGACACUGUCGACGCUUGCGAGCUUCUCCGUUCCCCCCCAAAUUGCUGGAAUCGACCGUAUCCACCCGCCUCAAUUAUCGCAUAGGAUGACGUCGCGAAGGUCGAAGAAGGCUAUGGUAACCUCGUGCGGUUAUUCAUGUUUCGAGGUCAGGGAUCUCUGCUACCGUCCUCCAGGAACCCAGUUCAAUAUUUUGAACGGUGUUAAUUUUUCUCUCCGUGAAAACAGCUUCGGCUUGAUUUUCGGGAAGAGUGGGAGCGGGAAAACUACUCUUCUGCAGCUACUUGCUGGGCUAAGCAAACCUACAUCAGGUUCCAUUUGUAUUCAAAGAUAUGGGGAUGACAGCCAACCAAAGGGAGUUCCAGAGUUUCUGCCAGCCGAAAAGGUUGGAAUUGUUUUCCAGUUUCCGGAGAGAUACUUUGUUGCGGAUAAUGUGCUUGACGAGAUUACUUUUGGUUGGCCAAGGCAAAGGGGUAGGUUGCAACUAAAGGAGCAUCUGACCUUCAAUCUCCAGAGAGCAUUUAAAUGGGUUGGAUUAGAUGGGAUCCCCCUGGACAAAGAUCCUCAGUUACUGAGUGGAGGCUACAAGCGCCGGCUUGCGUUGGCUAUUCAAUUGGUUCAAACUCCAGACUUAUUGAUAUUGGAUGAGCCCCUCGCCGGUCUCGAUUGGAAGGCACGUGCAGAUGUUUCAAAGCUCUUGAAGCACCUGAAGAAGGAAGUGACAUUGCUUGUCGUAAGUCAUGACCUAAGGGAGUUAGCAGGUUUGGUUGACCAGUCAUGGAGAAUGGAAACAAGUGGUGUUCUUCAUGCAGAACACCUGCCAGUUUAAUUCAUGACUCUGUAAUACUAGUCAUGGACGUUGUAGUCAGACCAGGUUUGGUGAUAAAGAGGGUAAAAUGGCAGGGUUUAACAUUUGAAAGUUGUGAUAUCACAUGUCAAGAUGUACUUUCCGAUGGAAGAUUUGGAUUAUCUGCAUGUGAAAUAAUUAAGAGCAGACUUGUUAGGAGCACGGCUUGCAACUUAGAGCAUGAUAGUAUACCUUCCUCCAAUGUACCAUGACGGUCCCUAGGAAAGGCCCACUAUGAAUCUUGCAUCAUUUACCUGAAAUAAUUUACAGUGUAUACCUGUUCGAGAUUUGGCAUCUAUCAUCACAGACAUGCCAAAAGUAUGGGGU